UAUGAAGUGCCUGAAAAAGGGAUAUCUUGAUAGGAUACUAUAUGUGGCCCCCCCCCACCUUCAUAAUA
This 68-nucleotide transfer RNA is filed under the name Lilioceris yunnana. RNAcentral's name for it is "tRNA-Ile". The record is from RNAcentral. Lineage: Eukaryota; Metazoa; Arthropoda; Insecta; Coleoptera; Chrysomelidae.